This 85-nucleotide transfer RNA is filed under the name Felis catus (domestic cat). It matches the Rfam family "tRNA". Rfam says of the family: Transfer RNA (tRNA) molecules are approximately 80 nucleotides in length. Their secondary structure includes four short double-helical elements and three loops (D, anti-codon, and T loops). Further hydrogen bonds mediate the characteristic L-shaped molecular structure. tRNAs have two regions of fundamental functional importance: the anti-codon, which is responsible for specific mRNA codon recognition, and the 3' end, to which the tRNAs corresponding amino acid is attached (by aminoacyl-tRNA synthetases). tRNAs cope with the degeneracy of the genetic code in two manners: having more than one tRNA (with a specific anti-codon) for a particular amino acid; and 'wobble' base-pairing, i.e. permitting non-standard base-pairing at the 3rd anti-codon position. Lineage: Eukaryota; Metazoa; Chordata; Mammalia; Carnivora; Felidae. RNAcentral also lists the same sequence under 6 other names. The record is from Rfam by way of RNAcentral.
GCCUGGGUGGCUUAGUUGGUUGAGCAUCUGACUUUGGCUCAGGUCAUGAUCUCACAGUUUGUGGGUUCCAGCCCCAUGUCAGGGU